AAGUCGUAACAAGGUUUCCGUAGGUGAACCUGCGGAAGGAUCAUUACCUAGAGUUGUAGGCUUUGCCUGCUAUCUCUUACCCAUGUCUUUUAAGUACCUUACGUUUCCUCGGCGGGUCCGCCCGCCGAUUGGACAAUUUAAACCAUUUGCAGUUGCAAUCAGCGUCUGAAAAAACUUAAUAGUUACAACUUUCAACAACGGAUCUCUUGGUUCUG
Molecule: unclassified non-coding RNA, 215 nt
Filed under: Didymella sp.
Lineage: Eukaryota; Fungi; Ascomycota; Dothideomycetes; Pleosporales; Didymellaceae
Also listed under: 1 other name
Description: partial internal transcribed spacer region
Rfam family: Eukaryotic small subunit ribosomal RNA (bases 1-46)
Source: RNAcentral